UACGGGGGGGGCAAGCGUUGUUCGGAAUUACUGGGCGUAAAGGGCUCGUAGGCGGCCAACUAAGUCAGACGUGAAAUCUCCCGGCUUAACUGGGAGGGUGCGGUGGAAACUGGGGUGCUUGAGUGUGGGAGAGGUAAGCGGAAUUCCUGGUGUAGCGGUGAAAUGCGUAGAUAUCAGGAGGAACACCGGUGGUGUAGACGGCUUACUGGACCACGACUGACACUGAGGCACGAAAGCGUGGGUAGCAAACAGG
RNAcentral lists this ribosomal RNA (253 nucleotides) under uncultured bacterium. Its description in RNAcentral is "partial 16S ribosomal RNA". It matches the Rfam family "Bacterial small subunit ribosomal RNA", at positions 524 to 776 of the family's 1533-position model. The record is from RNAcentral.